Molecule: non-coding RNA, 1030 nt
Organism: Phascolarctos cinereus (koala)
Lineage: Eukaryota; Metazoa; Chordata; Mammalia; Diprotodontia; Phascolarctidae
Source: RefSeq, a predicted model, not a curated record
AGAGAGAGAGAGAGAGAGAGAGAGAGAGAGAGAGAGAGAGAGAGAGAGAGAGAGAGAGAAUAAACCAGAGGGGAAGAAAAGCUGAGAUGUUUGGGAAAUUCAGCUCUUCACCCGCCUCCAGGGAAGCUCCUCAAGUCUCCGCUGCCGCCGUGUAGGAAUCAGGAUCAUUGCCGGAGGAGGAGAACAGAAAAAUGUCCAGAGUCACAGCUAGUCAGUGGAAGCCUCUUCCAAGGAGUCUACACCAACUACAGACCCGGGCUGUGCGGAUCAGGCUCGAGUGCUUCCUUCUGUUCCAAGUUUGGCUUCCAGAGCUAACCGAAUUAAAAAGCGGCUUUGCAACUCAGAUGCUGUGCUUUUCUGAGAUUGUGUCUCCGCCAGGGAGCGUCAAGGCCUGGUCAGCCGGGGAGAGGACCUCCGAGGGGAUCAUAGUUUGGGGCAAGAACAUCAGGCACCAGAUCCAGACUGAAUUUCUGGCCCAGAACGUGUUGGGGAGGAGCACUCCUGCUUCUAGUGUUUCACUAGCUCUGGCAGCUCCUAUGGACUUUAUUUUGGGUCAUCUCCUCUACCAAGGGGUAGGGAAAGAGCCAGCACCGUCGGCAACAGAAGCAACCACAGCAAGAUCGGAUACCUUUGGAUACGAGGCAGGGUGGAUUCCUUUCGACUUCUCAGAAAAAUAUCUGAAGCCUACGGACUUCUCCAGGCUCUGACUUGAGCUGAAAAAAAAAUCACCCCCAGCUACUGCGCUCUGGAACAAAAGAACACAGGAAUAGAUGGAACCUUACUUCUGAAGCUCUCUCCGAGAGUCCUCAAAACCGAAGGACAUCGGGGACCUGACCAAGGAGAAACGGGAGGCAAGAGCAGAAACAGUAACCUCCGAGCAGAGAAAGAAUUUCAGCCAUGUGCUCAAAACACACUCGAACCUCUCUUGCCCAGGGCGACAGAAACAAAACAAAACAAACAAAAAAUUAAAAAGCAUUAUAUAAUAUCUGGGUAAGGUCUUAUUGUUCUAUAUUAUAUAAAACAUGUUCAA